Suricata suricatta (meerkat) is the source of this 299-nucleotide long non-coding RNA. RefSeq lists it as uncharacterized. Lineage: Eukaryota; Metazoa; Chordata; Mammalia; Carnivora; Herpestidae. The transcript is spliced from 3 exons. The record is from RefSeq and is a predicted model, not a curated record.
AGCAGUUAAGGCAGGGUCCUGGGCAGCUGCUGAUCUGAGAGGCAGCAGCCUACCGGACACCCCUGUAUGGGCAGCCCUCCUGGUGGGGCGAGGAUGAGGGUGAGAGCUCACAUGAGGACCGGCGCCCAGAGGAGUCCGACCCAGAGCGGCCCAAGGCGCUGACACAGCAGGACAGGGAGCUGGCCGGGUCGAUGGGCGGCUUCCGGGCCACAGCGGAGCCUCCCAGCUACUCGUUCAGACGGGAGCCCAGUUACUUCGAGAUCCCCACGAAGGAGGCCCCACCGCCACGGCCCCCCGAG